UAACGACAUUGACGACAAUAGUAAAUCCGUUACACUGACAUCCACUGACAUUAUUCGUGGUGAGGAGAGUACAGUCGAUGCGGUGUACAUUUCUGUUGAAUAAAUUGGUCCACGAUGUGGUACGAUAUGCUUCCAGUAAUGGGUAUACUGGGAUCUCUUUGUCUAAUACCCCAUAUCAUCCCAACUUACAUAAACGAGUGGAAGUUUGGAAAUCCAAUGCGUAGAAGAUUGGAGAAAGACUGGGAUAGGAGAAUGUUUGAGAGAGAUUCUGCAUUAACUGGUAAAGUUUGGCAGAAUGCGGGCUUGGAGAACAUUCCAGACAAAUAGAGUCGUAAAUUCAUUUCAGAAUACAGUUGUAACGCAUUAUUGUAUAAAUUAAAUAAUAAUAUAUAGAAUAUGUGUAUUACUUGUAAGAUAAAGAACCAGACACUAUAACGGAUGUCUUUUUGAAAAUGUUUGUUUGGUGUAGACAAGUACUACAACUAAAUAAACGUAAAUAAUCGUAAGAAUGUAUAUAAGAUUAUAUAUGUGGUGUUAUUUUUUAAGCUAAAAUAUUCAUUAAAAUUCGAUAUCUUUUUUCUUUA
Molecule: long non-coding RNA, 584 nt
Organism: Hylaeus volcanicus
Lineage: Eukaryota; Metazoa; Arthropoda; Insecta; Hymenoptera; Colletidae
Exons: 4
Source: RefSeq, a predicted model, not a curated record